This 808-nucleotide ribosomal RNA is filed under the name uncultured Bacteroidota bacterium. RNAcentral describes it as "bacterial SSU rRNA". It matches the Rfam family "Bacterial small subunit ribosomal RNA", at positions 65 to 879 of the family's 1533-position model. The record is from RNAcentral. Lineage: Bacteria; Pseudomonadati; Bacteroidota.
AGGGGUAUAGUUCUUCGGAGCUAGAGACCGGCGCACGGGUGCGUAACGCGUAUGCAAUCUACCUUUUACAGAGGGAUAGCCCAGAGAAAUUUGGAUUAAUACCUCAUAGUAUGUGAGAAUCGCAUGGUUUUCACAUUAAAGUCACAACGGUAAAAGAUGAGCAUGCGUCCCAUUAGCUUGUUGGUAAGGUAACGGCUUACCAAGGCAACGAUGGGUAGGGGUCCUGAGAGGGAGAUCCCCCACACUGGUACUGAGACACGGACCAGACUCCUACGGGAGGCAGCAGUGAGGAAUAUUGGACAAUGGGCGCAAGCCUGAUCCAGCCAUGCCGCGUGCAGGAUGACGGUCCUAUGGAUUGUAAACUGCUUUUGUACAGGAAGAAACACUCCCUCGUGAGGGAGCUUGACGGUACUGUAAGAAUAAGGAUCGGCUAACUCCGUGCCAGCAGCCGCGGUAAUACGGAGGAUCCAAGCGUUAUCCGGAAUCAUUGGGUUUAAAGGGUCCGUAGGCGGUUUAAUAAGUCAGUGGUGAAAGCCCAUCGCUCAACGGUGGAACGGCCAUUGAUACUGUUAAACUUGAAUUAUUAGGAAGUAACUAGAAUAUGUAGUGUAGCGGUGAAAUGCUUAGAGAUUACAUGGAAUACCAAUUGCGAAGGCAGGUUACUACUAAUGGAUUGACGCUGAUGGACGAAAGCGUGGGUAGCGAACAGGAUUAGAUACCCUGGUAGUCCACGCCGUAAACGAUGGAUACUAGCUGUUGGGAGCAAUCUCAGUGGCUAAGCGAAAGUGAUAAGUAUCCCACCUGGGGA